RNAcentral lists this ribosomal RNA (407 nucleotides) under uncultured bacterium. Its description in RNAcentral is "bacterial SSU rRNA". It matches the Rfam family "Bacterial small subunit ribosomal RNA", at positions 28 to 436 of the family's 1533-position model. The record is from RNAcentral.
GACGAACGCUGGCGGCGUGCUUAACACAUGCAAGUCGAGCGGUAAGGCCCUUUCGGGGGUACACGAGCGGCGAACGGGUGAGUAACACGUGGGUGACCUGCCCUCAGCUCUGGGAUAAGCCUGGGAAACUGGGUCUAAUACCGGAUAUGACUCCAUGACGCAUGUUGUGGGGUGGAAAGCCUUGUGCGGCUGAGGAUGGGCCCGCGGCCUAUCAGCUUGUUGGUGGGGUGANGGGCCUACCAAGGCGACGACGGGUAGCCGGCCUGAGAGGGCGACCGGCCACACUGGGACUGAGACACGGGCCCAGACUCCUACGGGAGGCAGCAGUGGGGAAUCUUGCGCAAUGGGCGAAAGCCUGACGCAGCGACGCCGCGUGAGGGAUGACGGCCUGGUGUAACUACUUCUAC